This 253-nucleotide ribosomal RNA is filed under the name uncultured bacterium. Its description in RNAcentral is "partial 16S ribosomal RNA". It matches the Rfam family "Bacterial small subunit ribosomal RNA", at positions 524 to 776 of the family's 1533-position model. The record is from RNAcentral.
UACGUAGGGGGCAAGCGUUGUCCGGAUUUAUUGGGCGUAAAGAGCGUGUAGGCGGCCUGAAAGGUCAGCUGUGAAAACUCGAGGCUCAACCUCGAGACGUCGGUUGAAACCAUCUGGCUAGAGUCCGGAAGAGGAGUGUGGAAUUCCCGGUGUAGCGGUGAAAUGCGUAGAGACCCGGAGGAACACCAGUGGCGAAGGCGGCUUCCUGGUCUGCGACUGACGCUGUGGCGCGAAAGCUAGGGGAGCGAACGGG